RNAcentral lists this long non-coding RNA (1363 nucleotides) under Canis lupus familiaris (dog). RNAcentral describes it as "lncRNA (ENSCAFG00030015509.1)". The record is from RNAcentral. Lineage: Eukaryota; Metazoa; Chordata; Mammalia; Carnivora; Canidae.
UCGGAGAGGCCGGGAAGGUGGCGGCGCCCGGCCGGCUCUGCGGCCCGCCCCGCCGCCGCGGCCCCUUUAAGGCUUCCGGCCCCGCCCCCGCCCCGCCCCCGCCCCGCCCUCCGGGCCCGGGCCGCCCCGCCCCGCCCCGCCCCCGCCGCCCCGCCUCACCUGCCGCUCCCCACCCGGCCUCUGCGGCUCAGGCCCGCGAGUCCCGGGCGGGGGCCGGGAGCGGGGGCUCGGGGGAUGCUGGAGCGAGAGGUGCUGGUACGGGACCAGGUCGCACGAGCCCGACCUCACUUCCAGGCUGGCCCCGCCAACGGGCGGGCGUGUGACUCGGCAUGCAUUGCUUCUCAUCUUUUGGUCUCAGUGUCCUCACCCAUAAAGUGAGAUAACCAUCACCUCGUGCAACUGCUUUAAAAAUGAUAACGUAGCCCGGCACAUGGUGAGUUCUGGAUCAGGAGGUGCCAUGAAGGUGACAGUGAGCGCGAUCCCACAGUCGCUGCUCUUUUGAUCUGGGCCAGCCCGUGGUUUGCUCCGGGGGACUGCGGGAGCUGGGAGGGUGCCGAUGGGUGGCGGAAGGAGGAGGAUCCUUUGAGGGCCUGAAAAGGGGAAGGUGAGAGGGAAGGGGGCCGGUGAUGAGGUGCUGUGGGAGUGUCCUACUUUGCUCUGCUCUCACCAAAUAAGGUGAGGCUGAAAGGGUAAAUUAGGGAAGAGGAAUAAAGGAGGAACUGAAGAUAGGGUUGCCAAACCCGGACAUCUGGAGACCAGAGGGCCACCCUUGCUCCAGUAGCCCAGAGUCUCUUCCCUGCCCUUUAUCCCUGGGGGCUUCCAGUCAUUCACUUCCUUCUUCCAGAUGUCCCUUGGAUGGGCAGUUUCCCUUCAUUCCCAGGUCCUGCUGACUGCAGGACUUCACUCACAUUUCCCCCCAUGGUUUUGCUUCCAGGGGGACCAGGUGGUGACUUGGUUAAGGUGUCUCUUCCAUAGCCCCCCGGCAGAAACCUGGGUACAUGCACCCCAAGUGCUCAGGAAGUGCUGUGGAAGUGAAGAGAGAGUGUGCAGUUUAUUCUGGCCAACCAGGAGCACACAGUGUUUCCUUUUACCCUGGAGGACAUUACAAGAUGCAUUAUGCCUCAGGUUUGCAACUGAGGGUGGCUACCAUGCGGGAAAGACCUAUUCCAUACAUUGUAAAUAUGCAAUGGUGAUAAAAAGGAGGCACCAGACAGAUGCAAGCCUUCACCUUUCCAGAAUCGGUUUCAUGACAUACAAGAAGAAAGCAGAAGUUCUGAGGCAUUUAUUCCUUCUUGAAUCGUCCCAUUGGAGCUACCCCCUCAGGGUCUUGUUCUCCUUCCAGCCUCUUCCAUGUAAGCCAUGA